RNAcentral lists this small RNA (332 nucleotides) under Mus musculus (house mouse). The record is from RNAcentral. Lineage: Eukaryota; Metazoa; Chordata; Mammalia; Rodentia; Muridae.
GGAAAGUGCUCACAUACAAAUUAAGAAGUUCAGCUCUGUCUCAGGAGAUGGGGUGUCGGUGUCCCUGGUCGACAAGAACAGACGUCUCCUCGUCAUCAGUGGACUCUUGGCUAAGUGGUGUCGUCAUCAGCAUCUCCCCGCUGUGGGAGUCCAUCCAUCCUAAGUCAGCAGCAGAGCGUGCCUGGGGCGUGAGCAGUUGGAGGGACCGACCAGUGGAGUGUGCGUGUCGGAAGGCAGUCUACCCAGUCGUGACUGAGCACAAAUGUGCAAUUUGGUACAUGAGUGGCUACCACACUGGCUACUAUAUGGGUUUCAGACAAAAUAAAAAAGAA